GACGAACGCUGGCGGCGUGCUUAACACAUGCAAGUCGAACGGAAAGGCCCUGCUAUCGUGGGGUGCUCGAGUGGCGAACGGGUGAGUAACACGUGAGUAACCUGCCCUUGACUUUGGGAUAACUUCAGGAAAUUGGGGCUAAUACCGGAUAGGAGCUCCUGCUGCAUGGUGGGGGUUGGAAAGUUUCGGCGGUUGGGGAUGGACUCGAGGCUUACCAGCUUGUUGGUGGUGUAGUGGCUUACCAAGGCUUUGACGGGUAGCCGGCCUGAGAGGGUGACCGGCCACAUUGGGACUGGGAUACGGCCCAGACUCCUACGGGAGGCAGCAGUGGGGAAUAUUGCACAAUGGGCGGAAGCCUGAUGCAGCAACGCCGCGUGCGGGAUGACGGCCUUCGGGUUGUAAACCGCUUUCGCCUGUGACGAAGCGUGAGUGACGGUAAUGGGUAAAGAAGCACCGGCUAACUACGUG
Molecule: ribosomal RNA, 468 nt
Filed under: uncultured bacterium
Lineage: Bacteria
Description: partial 16S ribosomal RNA
Rfam family: Bacterial small subunit ribosomal RNA
Source: RNAcentral